GGGCUACACACGUCAUAACAAGUGGCGUUGGUAAACGUAAAGGGUUCGACCCAACCCGCGAGGGGGAGCUAAUCCCAUAAAGCCAGUCGUAGUCCGGAUCGUAGUCUGCAACUCGACUACGUGAAGUCGGAAUCGCUAGUAAUCGUGGAUCAGAAUGUCACGGUGAAUACGUUCCCGGGUCUU
RNAcentral lists this ribosomal RNA (183 nucleotides) under uncultured Rhodoferax sp. RNAcentral describes it as "partial 16S ribosomal RNA". It matches the Rfam family "Bacterial small subunit ribosomal RNA", at positions 1211 to 1382 of the family's 1533-position model. Lineage: Bacteria; Pseudomonadati; Pseudomonadota; Betaproteobacteria; Burkholderiales; Comamonadaceae. The record is from RNAcentral.